RNAcentral lists this ribosomal RNA (1338 nucleotides) under Triticum aestivum (bread wheat). Its description in RNAcentral is "partial small subunit ribosomal RNA". Lineage: Eukaryota; Viridiplantae; Streptophyta; Magnoliopsida; Poales; Poaceae. The record is from RNAcentral.
GAGUUGUCAAAGCGAGUUUUCCCUGCAAAACUCUCGCCGCUGCGAGUUCCCAAAAAGCGAAGCGACCACCACACCUCUCGCCGGAGAUGCCGCCGGGGACCCCUCUGCCGUCGACGGGGGCGUGGACCUGGGAGAACGCCGUCGCCGGAGCGACCGCCGGCUUCGCCACCGUCGCCACCUUCCACCCGCUCGACGUCGUCCGCACCCGCUUCCAAGUGAGCGGCGGGAGAGGGUUGUCCGACUUGCCGCCGUACAGGAACACGGGACACGCUGUAUACACCAUCGCACGAUCUGAGGGCCUGAGGGGACUUUAUGCCGGCUUUUAUCCUGCAGUUCUGGGGUCAACCGUUUCUUGGGGGCUAUAUUUCUUUUUUUAUAACAGAGCUAAACAAAGAUACUUGCAGGAGAAGGAUGUUCAGCUCCGUCCAUUCGACCAUCUUGCCUCAGCUGCAGAAGCAGGUGCUUUGGUUUGCCUGUUUACAAAUCCCAUAUGGCUGGUGAAAACACGGAUGCAACUACAAACACCUGGGCAUACUUCAUCUUAUUCUGGAUUUUCUGAUGCUUUGAGAACUAUUCGGAAAGAGGAGGGAUGGCGAGCACUUUAUAGAGGGAUCGGGCCUGGACUUUUGCUGGUCACCCAUGGCGCGAUACAAUUCACUGCCUAUGAGGAACUUCGCAAGGCUAUGAUAUCUGCGAAAAGUAAACAAACAAGGGGAGAUGACAAAGGCAGCGAGGAUUUAUUGAACUCCGUUGAUUAUGCGGCACUUGGCGCUGGUUCAAAAUUAUCUGCUAUUCUGCUUACUUAUCCUUAUCAGGUUAUCCGAGCCCGCUUACAGCAACGACCUGGUAGUGAUGGUAUCCCAAAGUACUCAGAUAGUUGGCAUGUAGUGAAGGAAGCUGCAAGGUACGAAGGUGUCCGUGGGUUUUACAGGGGCAUCACUUCCAACCUAUUGAAGAACCUUCCAGCAGCUUCCGUGACGUUUGUGGUGUAUGAAAACGUUAUCAAACUAUUCAGAGCAGCCAAGGAGAAGACGUAAUUCCAACUUGCAACUGGAGCCAGGAGAAACAUAGGAGGAACUAGGAAAGACACUAAUGUUCCGCGCAAAUACAGAAUCUGUUCAUUCACCACACUAUCCGAGCUCAACGUGAUGUUCCAUCACAUUUCCCAGUUCAGCUCUUAUUGACUUAACAGAAACGGAAUUUAGUUUGGCGAACUUGUUUUUUGUAGAGAAAAUUCAUUUUCUAAGAAACAGCUCAUUGGUUCAUGUUGUCCAGUUGAAUGCUUGUUGAAGAUAGAGCUCUGGUUCUAUGUGUGGUUCAACGUGUGAUUGCGUCAGU